AGAGUUUGAUCAUGGCUCAGGAUGAACGCUGGCGGCGUGCCUAACACAUGCAAGUCGAACGGACGAAAAGGGGCUUGCUCCUUUUUGUUAGUGGCGGACGGGUGAGUAACGCGUGGGUGACCUGCCGUAUACAGGGGGAUAACAGUUAGAAAUGACUGCUAAUACCGCAUAAGCGCACAGUAUCGCAUGAUACAGUGUGAAAAGCCGAGACGGUAUACGAUGGACCCGCGUCUGAUUAGCUGGUUGGCGGGGUAACGGCCCACCAAGGCGACGAUCAGUAGCCGGCCUGAGAGGGUGGACGGCCACAUUGGGACUGAGACACGGCCCAAACUCCUACGGGAGGCAGCAGUGGGGGAUAUUGCACAAUGGGGGGAACCCUGAUGCAGCGACGCCGCGUGAGUGAAGAAGUAUUUCGGUAUGUAAAGCUCUAUCAGCAGGGAAGAAGGAAGACGGUACCUGAGUAAGAAGCACCGGCUAAAUACGUGCCAGCAGCCGCGGUAAUACGUAUGGUGCAAGCGUUAUCCGGAUUUACUGGGUGUAAAGGGAGCGUAGACGGCGUGACAAGUCUGAAGUGAAAGCCCGGGGCUCAACCGCGGGACUGCUUUGGAAACUGCCAGGCUGGAGUGCAGGAGAGGUAAGUGGAAUUCCUGGUGUAGCGGUGAAAUGCGUAGAUAUCAGGAGGAACACCGGCGGCGAAGGCGGCUUACUGGACUGUAACUGACGUUGAGGCUCGAAGGCAUGGGGAGCAAACAGGAUUAGAUACCCUGGUAGUCCACGCGGUAAACGAUGAUCACUAGGUG
This 800-nucleotide ribosomal RNA is filed under the name uncultured bacterium. RNAcentral describes it as "bacterial SSU rRNA". It matches the Rfam family "Bacterial small subunit ribosomal RNA", at positions 8 to 822 of the family's 1533-position model. The record is from RNAcentral.